Molecule: ribosomal RNA, 261 nt
Filed under: uncultured bacterium
Lineage: Bacteria
Description: partial 16S ribosomal RNA
Rfam family: Bacterial small subunit ribosomal RNA
Source: RNAcentral
GUCCACGCCGUAAACGAUGGGUGCUAGGUGUGGGCGGUGUCGACUCCGUCCGUGCCGAAGCUAACGCAUUAAGCACCCCGCCUGGGGAGUACGGCCGCAAGGCUAAAACUCAAAGGAAUUGACGGGGGCCCGCACAAGCAGCGGAGCAUGUGGUUUAAUUCGACGCAACGCGAAGAACCUUACCAGGGCUUGACAUGCAUGGGAAUGUCGUGGAAACACGGCAGCCUUCGGGCUCGUGCACAGGUGGUGCAUGGCUGUCGU